Molecule: ribosomal RNA, 467 nt
Filed under: uncultured bacterium
Lineage: Bacteria
Description: bacterial SSU rRNA
Rfam family: Bacterial small subunit ribosomal RNA
Source: RNAcentral
CGCUGGCGGCGUGCCUAACACAUGCAAGUCGAGCGAGGAGAUCCUUCGGGAUGAUCCUAGCGGCGACGGGUGAGUAACACGUGGGCAACCUGCCUCAUAGAGAGGAAUAGCCUUCCGAAAGGGAGAUUAAUACCUCAUACAUUGCAGUUUCGCAUGGAACAGCAAUUAAAGGAGUAAUCCGCUAUGAGAUGGGGCCCGCGGCGCAUUAGCUAGUUGGUGAGGUAACGGCUCACCAAGGCGACGAUGCGUAGCCGACCUGAGAGGGUGAUCGGCCACAUUGGGACUGAGACACGGCCCAGACUCCUACGGGAGGCAGCAGUGGGGAAUAUUGCACAAUGGGGGAAACCCUGAUGCAAGCAACGCCGCGUGAGUGAUGACGGCCUUCGGGGUUGUAAAGCUCUGUCUUCAGGGACGAUAAUGACGGUACCUGAGGAGGAAGCCACGGCUAACUACGUGCCAGCAGCCGC